UCUGUGGUGAUGAUCUGCGCAGGGGUACGGACCUCAGCCAAUGAUGGGGGCUGAGUGCUGCUGCUGAGCUCUGAUUGGAGGACGUGUGGUUCACCAACAGAGUGGCAGCAGCAUGAAAUAGACGCCACACUGAACAGA
This is a small nucleolar RNA of Cheilinus undulatus (humphead wrasse), 138 nucleotides long. RefSeq annotates it as small nucleolar RNA SNORD94. The transcript has a single exon. NCBI's taxonomy places the organism in Eukaryota, Metazoa, Chordata, Actinopteri, Labriformes, Labridae. The record is from RefSeq and is a predicted model, not a curated record.